UCUCUCUCUCUCUCUCUCUCUCUCUCUCUCUCUCGCUGUCUCUCUGUUUUGUUUUUUAGCCCUCCAAUGUGUAAAGGAUUCCAUUUAUUAAAAUCUCUCUGUGGAUACAUCUUGUGUGUUCUCUUUCUUACAGAGCAGAGGAUUAGGGUGGGUUUUCAUUGGAAUUGUUUUCCUUCCUAAGGGCAUUUAAAAAUACUUCCCAGAGACACUUUUGUUAAACUUACAACUUUGUCUAAUUAAAGUUUUCACUAGAAAGAAAUAUUUGUUUAGAUUGUUUCUGGAAUAUUAGUUCUGUACCAGGAGAUUUUUGUUUUUUUGCUACAAUGUAUAUGUUUUAUAGUGAACAGUUUUAUAAAGGGUAGACAAUUCUCCUAGGGAUUUUGCAGGGGCAUAUAAUUUGCAUUGAAAUGGCUUUGACAUGAAAGAAGUGCAUCUUUCCAACUGAUGUUCCUCAUGGAGCCAGCUUUGGAUAACUUCCUAAUUCAAGAAUGCAGACCACAGUAAGUCUUAUGCGCCUCUAAAUUUGACUUUGUUCUGUAAAAGCAAAAUACCUUUCAAAAUGAUUGUCCAGCUACGGACCUCUGUUGUCUUGUAGAAGGACCUGGGAACUACUCUGGCAUUAGAAGUUUCAAAGCAUUUCCUAAGAGAGUUAAUAACUGGAAUUCUAACUAAUCAGCCACAGAGCUUGGAAAGUUAAAAAUAUACAAACUCAAUCUUUCACAGGGAAUGAUUUUAAACCUAAUCACCUGGUGAUAAGAAUUUUAAUCUAUUCAAAGUCAACCACCAUCGAACUUUUAUCUUAAGCAAACAGAGAGUCUACCAGAUGUGGCUGAUAGAGUUGAAUGAUUUUGACUCUGCCUGUGGUCUGUUUAAAUUGUGAUUCCCUACAGUCUGUGAUUAUACAGCGGGAAAGAUUCAUUUUUCUAGUUUAAUCAGAUGAGACUAUAGCUUCUUAUGAUUAAACUCAUUUUAUACAAAAAAAAUUCCUGACAUUUCUCCAAUUUGGAUUCUUAUAUAAUACUAACAUGUACAUAUUCCUAUUUUCUUAGAAAAUCUAGGAAAUUUAGCAAAUUCUGAAGGCACAAAAAGAAAAAACAAUCUUGACCUCAAAAUAAAGACAGCCAGCAACAGUCAGCCUUGCAAUGAAGAAAUCCCCACAAAUGGCAAUAAUCAGACAUUCAGAAUGUUUGGGUGAGGCACAGUCCCAAGGACCGGGCAGGGAUUUAUGUGGUUAAUUCUCAGGACAACACUGUAAAGUAGUUAUGAGCUGUGUUUUACAAAUGAGAAUGUGAAGUCCAAGGAGUCAAAUGACCUCCCAAGGUCGUGUGACUAAUACCUUACAGGCCUGUGUCUUAACCUUAGAAGGGCAGCUACGGGAUGAACAGCCUUGACCACCAUCCUGGGGUUUCUCUUGGUUAUGCACUCCUCAGUGUGAAUGCCUGAGAUGUCAAGUUUAGUUAGCCUCUGACCGAAACUCACCCCCCUACUCAGCAAGCCAGAGAAAGAGGAGACACUAGGAACAAAAGAAAGACCACAGUCACUGCCCUUGAAAACACUCCUAGGAAUUCCUUAUGGGUCUUUAUCUGUGGAAUGCUUUUAUCAUGAUGUACCUGGUCUGCCGAGGUUACUUACAGUAAAUUCAUUUAUAAUUGUGGGACAAGAUUUGCCAAAAAGGAAUAUUGCAUCAGUAUGUAAUUUUCUGAUUGGAAAUGUCAGUAUUCCAUGACUGAACUAUCUCCUCUUGUGUAAGACGUGUUUAAUACAGUGGGGUUUAAUACCAUGUGCCUACAGGCUUCACCUGCAUCUCACAGUCACCUGUAUCCUUUGAAUCACUGGUAAAUUUUGGCCCUGUGUAAGACGUGUGAUUUCUGUAAGUCUGAUUGGAGAGUCUGGUUCUCACUGUCAUAUCAAAGAGUUUCCUUUACAGUCAAGCUCUUUUGAAAUUCCAAGAUGUUAGCUGGUCUUCCACCUCUGCCUAUUUAUUCCUUAUAAUACAGAACUAUUAAUGGCAUAUAUUGAUACACAAUGAAUACAUUUUGGUUCAGUAAAAAACUGCCAAUCAAGGGGGGACAUCGUGGGUUAAAUUGAAUGCUAAGAUGCUCAGGAAUCAAAGUGGCAAGUGGAGACGUGUGUGAAAGGGAUGCACACAGAGGGUGUCGCUGGCAUCGGGAGGGUUAGGACUGGUGAGUCAGUGAAGGAAGAAGGACCAGAGCAGGCGGACGUGGACGACACACGUGGGACUCACAACCAGUGUGGGCCUGGCACGGCCAGGCUUGAAACUGCCGUAAAACAUGGAGUGGAUCAUUUCCUUCUUUCUACGAGUUUUUUAUUUUUUAAUCGGAAGACACUUUCAUGAUGGACUUUAAGGAAAAAGUAGGUCAGAGAUUUAUAUUCUCCUCAAGGCUUACCCAGUAUAAUUGAAUCGAUGGGCUUGUAAUUUUUUUCAGAUGCCAUUACAUCUCCUUGGUGCUGCACUUUGUAAAUUGUAAAUGGACAGCUCAAUCUUCUUGUCAGGUUCUGAAAGCAUAUAUCCACAGACUAUUCCAGAAAGUAUCUGGGAACUCUAUUACAAAGGCGCCAGGCAAUCACAGGAAAGUCCUUCUAGAAGGAGGCUCCCUGCCAUGGCUUUCCACAUAGCUCUCUGGUGUACUGCUGGACCUACGCGGGUGGGAGUUACAGCCUGGGAGCUGCUCUGUCCCUGCAGAGGUAAACAGCACUUGCAUCUGAUAAGAGGUCGGGCCACACAGCUGUAGGCUUUUCAGGUCUCUAAUGUCUGAGAGACAAUAUGCAUUUGUGUGGAAAUGGCAAGUUGCUUCACAAUGAGGUCAACUCUAAAGAAGACUUGGACACGUGUGAUUUUUAUCAUUGUGCCGCAGGCUGUCAUGCCGAAGGAAGACACUAUGAUUUACAGAGAUCUUCUAGCUCCCUGUCAUUCCUGGAGUCUUCUGUGGAAUCCUUCUUCAUAAGAAAGGUAUCAGGAGACUUACGUAAGACUACAGUUACCAACAACAGGAAACUCAGCUUUGCAAUUUUGUUCUUAAAGAAGAAUCUCCAUUCUGUCCCACCCACAUUCUUUCAAAACAUCUUAGAAAAAAGUGUCUGUUCCUACUGCCUCCCAACCUGAAAUAAUUUGACAGAUUGCUCCUGAAAUGAAUCUAAACUUAAUGCAAAAAAUAAAACUUUCAAAUUAAAAAAAAACACAUAUAAAUAAAGCUGUACACAUAAGUUUUACUUAGCUUUAUGGUAAUUUGACAUAUUGUUGUAUUGCUUUUAGGCUCUUGGUAAAAAAUCAAAAGUGUUCGUUCAUUUCAUGAUAAAAAGUACUGUAUGUUUACUGUAAGUAUGUAAAGUGGUAUGUGAUUAUAUAUGUGAAUAUGGUACAUGAACAAUAUAUUUUUGCAAUACAAUAACUUGA
This is a non-coding RNA of Ictidomys tridecemlineatus (thirteen-lined ground squirrel), 3415 nucleotides long. Lineage: Eukaryota; Metazoa; Chordata; Mammalia; Rodentia; Sciuridae. The record is from RefSeq and is a predicted model, not a curated record.